This 354-nucleotide transfer-messenger RNA is filed under the name Spirochaetia. Its description in RNAcentral is "SKKC01 sp007694005 Standard tmRNA". It matches the Rfam family "transfer-messenger RNA". From Rfam's summary of the family: Bacterial tmRNA, also known as 10Sa RNA or SsrA, is named for its dual tRNA and mRNA-like properties. Its role is to liberate the mRNA from a stalled ribosome. The record is from RNAcentral. Lineage: Bacteria; Pseudomonadati; Spirochaetota. RNAcentral also lists the same sequence under 1 other name.
GGGGGUGUUCCGGUUUCGACGGUGAAGAUACCCGGGUCGUGCGUUGCAGGCGGAGCGCCAACUCCAAAAACUAGCACCAUUUUACCUGCAGACAAUGCAGAUUUUGCAAUGGCAGCUUAAUUAAGCCUGCCACGGAUUCGUAAGACGCCGCCUCGAGGCUUACGCGAUUCGACAUAAACCGGGGCUUGCUGCGCAGUCCGUCCGGGGGCCGCGCGGGACUCUAUACCCGGACUGGAAGACUGAGUGGCACGUCGGUGCGCCGCCCGGUCUUUGAGACUUAAAGCACUGACUAAGCCUGUAGACGCGUGCGGACGGCUUCGCCGGACAGGGGUUCGAUUCCCCUCACCUCCAUGC